GUGUUAUGAAUAGUUUCAAUAUAUUUAUCAAGAAUGGUAUUUUUGUUAAGAGGUUCUUUGAGUUGUGUUAUUUAUUCUUUACUCUGUUUAAAAAGAGGGCAAGCGUGGUUUAUCGAGUGGGAGUUGGUUAGUCUAAAUUCAAGCUCAAUUGUAAUAACUUUAAUUUUAGAUUGAAUAUCUUUUAUGUUCCUGGGGUUUGUAAUAUUUAUUUCCUCUAUAGUGCUUUAUUACAGAGGAGAAUAUAUGUCAGGAGAUAAUAAUAUAAAUCGAUUUAUAUAUCUGGUGUUGGCAUUUGUUAUGUCAAUAGGUUUCUUAAUUAUUAGACCUAAUUUAGUUAGAAUUUUAUUAGGUUGGGAUGGCUUAGGGUUAGUAUCAUACGCCUUAGUAAUUUAUUACCAAAAUGAAAAGUCGGCAAAUGCUGGUAUACUUACAGCUCUUUCGAAUCGAGUUGGGGAUGUAGCUAUCCUAUUGGCAAUUUCUUUGUUUUUUAGAUGUGGGGGAUGGAAUUUUUUGUUUUAUGUAGAAAAUAUACCUAAUAUAAGAUUAAAUGGAGUUUUAUGUGGGUUGGUGGUUUUAGCAGGAAUAACUAAAAGUGCUCAGAUUCCAUUUUCGGCCUGGCUGCCGGCGGCCAUGGCAGCUCCUACUCCUGUCUCAGCUUUAGUUCACUCGUCUACUCUAGUUACGGCGGGAGUGUAUUUAUUAAUCCGGUUUAGACCUGCUUUGGAAGGACAAACAUCUCAAAUAAUUCUUCUUUUAUUAUCAAGUUUGACUAUAUUUAUAGCCGGGUUAGGGGCAAAUUUUGAAUAUGAUUUAAAAAAAAUCAUUGCGUUAUCUACAUUGAGUCAAUUAGGGGUAAUAAUAAGAAUUUUGUCAUUAGGGUAUGCGGAUUUAGCCUUCUUUCACUUAUUGGCGCAUGCACUAUUUAAGGCGCUCCUAUUUAUGUGUGCUGGGGCUGUAAUUCACAGAGUGAAGGAUUAUCAGGAUAUUCGUAUAAUAGGAGGAUUAGUAUACCAUAUACCUUUGACGGGAAUAUGUAUAAACCUUGCAAAUCUUGCUCUGUGUGGGACACCUUUUUUAGCCGGGUUUUAUUCUAAAGAUAUAAUUUUGGAGGUAGCAUUUAUGUCACCUAUUAAUCUGGUGUCUUUUCUGUUAUAUGCUUUAGCAACCGGGUUAACCGUGUGUUAUACGAUACGAUUGGUAUACUAUACAUUAUCGGGGGAUUUUAAUCUAGGUAAUUUAUACUCUGUAAGUGAUGAGGGGAAAGUGAUGACUAACCCUAUAAUAGGCUUAAGAGUAGGGGCUAUUUUUGGUGGGGCUAGUUUGGCUUGAUUAAUUUUUCCUUGCCCCUAUAUAAUUUGUAUAAGACCUUUUUUUAAAACAUUAGCUUUGAUUGUAAGAGUAAUUGGGGGAGUAGUAGGAUACUUGUUAAAUCUGAGUGCUGUUAGAUAUAAGUUGAAUUCUUUGGAUACUUACAAAACGGUCGUAUUUUCAGGUUCAAUAUGAUUCAUACCUUAUCUAUCCACUUACGGAAUUAGAAAAAACUUCUUGGGGAGUGGAGAGGCAUACCAGAAAGUUGGAGAUAUAGGGUGAUCAGAGUAUUACGGGGGGCAAGGAAUUUAUUCGUUUGUUAGAAAAAGCUCUAAAUAUUUACAAGUUUUUCAGGAUAAUAGUAUGAAGGUGUAUAUACUAAGUUUUCUUCUUUGGGUAAUCGUGUUAGUAUUUAUAUCAGUUU
This 1732-nucleotide unclassified non-coding RNA is filed under the name Penaeus japonicus. RNAcentral's name for it is "nADH-ubiquinone oxidoreductase chain 5". The record is from RNAcentral. Lineage: Eukaryota; Metazoa; Arthropoda; Malacostraca; Decapoda; Penaeidae.